UAGGGAAUCUUCGGCAAUGGGGGGAACCCUGACCGAGCAACGCCGCGUGAGUGAAGAAGGUUCUCGGAUCGUAAAGCUCUGUUGUUAAGGAAGAACGAGUGUGAGAAUGGAAAGUUCAUGCUGUGACGGUACUUAACCAGAAAGGGACGGCUAACUACGUGCCAGCAGCCGCGGUAAUACGUAGGUCCCGAGCGUUGUCCGGAUCUAUUGGGCGUAAAGCGAGCGCAGGCGGUUAGAAAAGUCUGAAGUUAAAGGCAGGGGCUCAACCAUUGUCGGCUUUGGUAACUGUUUGACUUGGGUGCAGGAGGGGGGGGAGGAAUUCCAUGUGUAGCGGUGAAAUGCGUACAUAUAAGGAGGAACACCGGUAACGGUAGCAGCUCUCUGCUCUAUAACUGACACCGAGGCUCGAAAGAGUGGGGGGCGAACAGG
This 429-nucleotide ribosomal RNA is filed under the name Bacteroidota bacterium. Its description in RNAcentral is "Bacteroidetes bacterium partial 16S ribosomal RNA". It matches the Rfam family "Bacterial small subunit ribosomal RNA", at positions 355 to 776 of the family's 1533-position model. The record is from RNAcentral. Lineage: Bacteria; Pseudomonadati; Bacteroidota.